Molecule: transfer RNA, 91 nt
Filed under: Methylobacterium gnaphalii
Lineage: Bacteria; Pseudomonadati; Pseudomonadota; Alphaproteobacteria; Hyphomicrobiales; Methylobacteriaceae
Description: tRNA-Phe
Source: RNAcentral
CCUGGUCGUAGCCGGCGGAAUAGCCCUCGUUGAAGACGAGGUAGAGCAUGGCGGCCACUGCCGAGAGCCGCUCGGCGCGCUCGGCCGGGCC